UCCGGUAUGGUGUAACGGCUAACAUUACCGCCUUUCAUUGUAUUCCAACGACAGGUGCGCGGUAGCUCGGGGUUCGAUUCCCCGUACCGGAA
This is a non-coding RNA of Pholiota molesta, 92 nucleotides long. The record is from the annotation of a GenBank genome assembly. NCBI's taxonomy places the organism in Eukaryota, Fungi, Basidiomycota, Agaricomycetes, Agaricales, Strophariaceae.